Molecule: ribosomal RNA, 689 nt
Filed under: uncultured soil bacterium
Lineage: Bacteria
Description: bacterial SSU rRNA
Rfam family: Bacterial small subunit ribosomal RNA
Source: RNAcentral
GGGCUUAAACGAUGAUCACUGAGGUGUUAGGAAGCUUCGACCCCUUCUGCGCCGCCGCUAACGCAUUAAGUGAUCCGCCUGGGGAGUACGGCCGCAAGGUUAAAACUCAAAGGAAUUGACGGGGGCCCGCACAAGCAGUGGAGCAUGUGGUUUAAUUCGAUGCUACGCGAAAAACCUUACCAGGGUUUGACAUCCCGGUGAAAUCCCCUAGAAAUUGGGGACCCCUUCGGGCACCGGUGACAGGUGGUGCAUGGUUGUCGUCAGCUCGUGCCGUGAGGUGUUGGAUUAAGUUCCGCAACGAGCGCAACCCUCGUUGCUAGUUGCCAUCAUUAAGUUGGGCACUCUAGCGAGACUGCCAGCGUCAAGCUGGAGGAAGGUGGGGAUGACGUCAAAUCAUCAUGCCCCUUACACUCUGGGCUACACACGUGCUACAAUGGCCGGUACAACAGGUUGCUACCUCGCGAGAGGAUGCGAAUCCCCAAAGCCGGUCUCAGUUCGGAUUGCAGGCUGCAACUCGCCUGCAUGAAGCUGGAAUUGCUAGUAACCGUGGAUCAGCAUGCCGCGGUGAAUACGUACUCGGGCCUUGUUACACACCGCCCGUCACACCACGAAAAGCUGGAAAACGCCCCGAAGUCCGUUGAGCCAACCGCAAAGAANGCAACCGGCCGAAAGGUUGGAAUUCAGUUGAA